CGUCGGGUUCCUCCUCUACGGACUCCGCCCCGGUGGCCUCCUCACGCUCCACCUCACCGAGAUCCUCCACCGCCAUCUUGUCGUUCCCGCCACCAUCCUCCGCAACCGUAACACUAGCCUCCGACGACUCGGGAGGGGUCGCCGCCACAACCGGAGGGGGCGCCGGAGAGGUCUCUGGCGGGGCGGCAGCGGGAGUGGUCUCCGCCGCAACCGGAGGGGGCGCCGGAGAGGUCUCUGGCGGGGCGGCCGCGGGAGGGGUCUCCGCCACGGACGGAGGGGGCGCCGGGGAUCUCUCUGGGGGGGCGGCCGCGGCCGCGGCCCGCCGGAGUUUCUUGGCUUUGGCUGGAGGCAUGAGGAAGGUCGCCGAGGGUUUGCUGUGUUGAGGUUGGGUGUCGUGGUUCAACGGCGAGGGUGGAGAUUGGAG
RNAcentral lists this ribosomal RNA (424 nucleotides) under Triticum aestivum (bread wheat). RNAcentral describes it as "partial small subunit ribosomal RNA". Lineage: Eukaryota; Viridiplantae; Streptophyta; Magnoliopsida; Poales; Poaceae. The record is from RNAcentral.